RNAcentral lists this ribosomal RNA (262 nucleotides) under Pyrenopeziza brassicae. Its description in RNAcentral is "partial 28S ribosomal RNA". It matches the Rfam family "Eukaryotic large subunit ribosomal RNA", at positions 1 to 258 of the family's 3401-position model. The record is from RNAcentral. Lineage: Eukaryota; Fungi; Ascomycota; Leotiomycetes; Helotiales; Ploettnerulaceae.
UUGACCUCGGAUCAGGUAGGGAUACCCGCUGAACUUAAGCAUAUCAAUAAGCGGAGGAAAAGAAACCAACAGGGAUUACCUCAGUAACGGCGAGUGAAGCGGUAACAGCUCAAAUUUGAAAGCUAGCCCUCUUAGGGUUCGCAUUGUAAUUUGUAGAAGAUGCUUCGGGUGUGGCCCCGGUCUAAGUUCCUUGGAACAGGACGUCAUAGAGGGUGAGAAUCCCGUAUGUGACUGGGUGCUUUCGCUCAUGUGAAGCUCUUUC